GAUGAACGCUGACAGAAUGCUUAACACAUGCAAGUCAACUUGAACUUCGGUUUGGGUGGCGGACGGGUGAGUAACGCGUAAAGAACUUGCCUCACAGAUAGGGACAACAUUUGGAAACGAAUGCUAAUACCUGAUAUUAUGAUUAUAUGGCAUCGUAUAAUUAUGAAAGCUAUAUGCGCUGUGAGAGAGCUUUGCGUCCCAUUAGCUAGUUGGAGAGGUAACGGCUCACCAAGGCGAUGAUGGGUAGCCGGCCUGAGAGGGUGAUCGGCCACAAGGGGACUGGGACACGGCCCUUACUCCUACGGGAGGCAGGAGUGGGGAAUAUUGGACAAUGGACCAAGAGUCUGAUCCAGCAAUUCUGUGUGCACGAUGAAGUUUUUCGGAAUGUAAAGUGCUUUCAGUUGGGAAGAAAAAAAUGACGGUACCAACAGAAGAAGUGACGGCUAAAUACGUG
Molecule: ribosomal RNA, 454 nt
Filed under: uncultured bacterium
Lineage: Bacteria
Description: partial 16S ribosomal RNA
Rfam family: Bacterial small subunit ribosomal RNA
Source: RNAcentral